Molecule: ribosomal RNA, 472 nt
Filed under: uncultured bacterium
Lineage: Bacteria
Description: bacterial SSU rRNA
Rfam family: Bacterial small subunit ribosomal RNA
Source: RNAcentral
UGGGGAAUAUUGGACAAUGGGCGAAAGCCUGAUCCAGCCAUGCCGCGUGUGUGAAGAAGGUCUUCGGAUUGUAAAGCACUUUAAGUUGGGAGGAAGGGCAGUUACCUAAUACGUGAUGGUUUUGACGUUACCGACAGAAUAAGCACCGGCUAACUCUGUGCCAGCAGCCGCGGUAAUACAGAGGGUGCAAGCGUUAAUCGGAAUUACUGGGCGUAAAGCGCGCGUAGGUGGUUUGUUAAGUUGGAUGUGAAAUCCCCGGGCUCAACCUGGGAACUGCAUUCAAAACUGACAAGCUAGAGUAUGGUAGAGGGUGGUGGAAUUUCCUGUGUAGCGGUGAAAUGCGUAGAUAUAGGAAGGAACACCAGUGGCGAAGGCGACCACCUGGACUGAUACUGACACUGAGGUGCGAAAGCGUGGGGAGCAAACAGGAUUAGAUACCCGUGUAGUCCCUGAGCGGGCUGGCAAGGCGCAU